GUUUCUUGCUGACUUGUGUGAUUUUAUAAUAUAUUUCAGAUAUUAAUCUCUUGUUGGGUUAGAGCUUGGUUAUCUUAGAGCUGAGGAGUGCCCUUCAACGGUAAGUCCUGCCUCAAGAUAUAGCCAGAAAGUCUCAGAAAUAGAAAAAAGACCUUGAGACUUGAGACAGAAUAAACUGGUGGUGAUUCUCUGUGCAACAUAUACUUCCUUAUGACCCUAAGGACCGCUGGGGUUAUCUUGUCAUUAAAUCUACUAAUAUCUGACGUCAUUCACAACUUCCUGAUGACUUCAUUCAUGACUUCCUUUGCCUACCUAAUCUUCAGUUAUUGGCAAGACAUAUUACUGUCAUUAUCAUUUUGCUUUUAUUACGCAGAUGAAAAAUGUUUGCUGUUGAAAAAUACUCAAAAUGAUAACAAAAUUCUGAAAAACCACCUGCAACUCUGCCACCCCGAGAUGACUAUGGUUAAUCUUUUAGGAGGCAUUCCAAUCCCUGGAAAUGAAUGGCUGAGGAGAUGCAAGCAUCAUAUGACAAAUGGGCCUCCCCAUCCACCCCUGUGCUCUAUCUUAAUCUUUCUUGUAGAACUUACUACAUUUACUAUAGCUAUUUGUUCAGGGAUUAUUAGAACAGGAGUCAGUUGACUUAGGUUCUAGUUCCACCUUUGAUCUGCCAAAGAUUCCGUUUUUUAAAAAGAGGAGACCUUGAAAAUCACGCCAGGGGGGUUUGGACUUCCAUCUGUAAGUGAUUGGGAACUGUUGAAGGAUUUGAAGCGGUUGAAUCAUUCAAGAUAAUUUUGGUAGAGGAACUUCUCCCUGGAAGCAAUGAUACAUGAAUGUAAGUGAAUGAAAAUUACAUUUAUUGAGUACUGGGCAUUGUGCUAGAGGUAUUAUCUAUGAUAUUUCGCCAGGUCCUUUCAGUACUAUAGUAUACAGAUGAUUGCGCCCAAGUUGGAGACUUGGCACGUUUGAAAUUUCUAACUGUCUGAAGUUAAGCAAUGUGCUCAAAGGCACACAGCUAGUAAGUUUUGGAGUUAAAUCCAGCGCAUUUCAACUAACUGGUUUCUUUCCAGGCACAGUGGCUAGUUCGAAAAUUAUUUCAGCAGUCUGGGUCAGAUCAAUUCCCAUUUAAUAGUGAGAAGUUCAAGUGUCUAGCAAGCUGCAUUCUUACAGCAGCAGCUUUGUUAGUUGCAGGCUGUCCCCAGGGGUUUUUCCCUCUGACUCAGACACAGCAGGGGAAUCCUGAGGGAAGCUCAGCUUUUACUUCUUGAAUUUCAGAGUCCUGACACACCCUGUAGUGAUUGCAGAUAGAGAUCUGAGUCCUUGUCAACAAAGAGAUAGAAGGAGGGACCUUGGGUAAGUCCCUUCUCUCUGGACCUCAGUUUUGUCAACCAAAAAGGAUUGAAUGAUGUCUAAAGUUUUCUUUCAUUCUAACACUCAGGAAUCCCUCAUUGUAUAUAAUGUGAUGCUGAGUUCUAGGAGGAGCUUAAUAAUGGUAUUGGUGAUUUGUAGGAAUUAAGCCAACAGAAUUUCAUUACACACAGAACUAGUUGAAGGUAGGGUGGAAGAGGGGUAUAAAAAAUACUUAGUUACUUAACUUUUAUAUAUGUAGCCAUGUUAUUAAAUUCUGACCAAUGGGGCGUACAUGGAAUUAGUGUUGACACUUUUUCAGGAAAUAUUCUUAUAGGGAGGGACCUGAUUUUCUCCUUCCUAUUUCUGCUUCUGGUUGGCUGAGAUAAAGUAGAUAUGCGGAUGAGCUGUUUAGAGCUUGGAUCACAAGCUGGAAGCUACAUGUUGAAAACAGCGGAGCAGUACGAAGGAUGGAAUCUGGGUCCCUGAUGAUAUUUAAGCCUCUAUACAAACCUUGAACUGCUUAUGUUAACAGAAACUUGAGAGAGAAAUACACUUCUAUUUUGUUUAACACGUUAUUGUUUUUGUUUUACUGUAUGUUGCAGCUGAACUGAAUACAGGGAAUAUUUUCAAAAAAGCACAUUGCCUUCAUAAAUUUUCUUUCAAAGAACGCUGUUGAAAAAGCAUUUUGAGCAAGAGUACAAUAACCUUCGCAAUCAGACAUGGCAGAUCUGAUCUGGGGGAUGGUCAGGGGAUACCUACCCACUUGGCCAACAGUUAAGUUUUAUUAGGGCUAGUAAUUUUUAUAAAAAUACUACAAGUUUUACUAGGACAAUAACUUGAAUAUUUUAUGCUAAUUUCCUAAACUGAUCCUUCUAUUUUCACUGAAAACAUUUACGUUUCUAUUCUUUAGAUGAGGUUGUUAAUACAAAAGCAAUUUAUUUUUCGUGAAUGGAGUUAGGUGGAGCAAAAAAAUAAAGGGAUAGACGAUUGUUCCAAAUCAUUUUAUUUCAUGGGAUAUAUUUUUUGCCACUGAGUUAAAAAAACACAUUUGUCACAUAUUAAAUUCCUAUAUGUAAAUAAACAGGUGAAGAAUAAUGGCCAAGAAUUUUACAAAUUUCAUUAAAAAAAUCAAUCCACAGACCCAAGAUACUCAAAAAAUCUCAGGCUGGAAAAACACAAGGCAAACCACACAGAUGAACAUAUUUAUUAAAUUUCUGAAAACAAGAGAUGAAGAGAAAAAUCUUAAAAACAGCCAGAAAAAUAUAUGUAUAGAGGAACAAAUAUAUAAAUCUAAUUUCUCAUCAGAAGCUAUGCAUGUCAGAAGAAUGGAAAAAGAUCUUUAAAGUGCUGAAAGAAAAAAAGAAACUGUAAACCUGGAUUUUUAUACCUGAUAAAAAUAUCCUUCAAAAAUGAAGGCAAAGUGAAGAUUUUUCAGAAAAAAAUCUGAGAGAAGUUUGGCUAGCAGACCUGGAUGACAAGAAAUGUUAAAAAAUAAGUUCUUCAGAUGGAAAGAAAAUGAUAACUGAAGAUUUGGAUCUACAGAAAGGAAUGAAAAGCUCCAGAAAUGAAAAGAAUCUGGAAGUUGCACAAGUCAGAUGCACAGGACAGUGCUCAGAGCUGUGAGGACUCCAGAGGAGGCCAGGUGUAUGGCAAGUGUACCCAAGAGCCCCAUCUUCUGUUGAUGUAGGCCCAGGGGCCUGGCCAUGCCUAAUCCAAGGAACCCUGUCCCUUCUCUGAUAGGGGAGUGCACCCCUGAAAAAUUGCAUGAGCACAGUCAC
This 3125-nucleotide long non-coding RNA is filed under the name Equus caballus (horse). RNAcentral's name for it is "lncRNA (ENSECAG00000043140.2)". The record is from RNAcentral. Lineage: Eukaryota; Metazoa; Chordata; Mammalia; Perissodactyla; Equidae.